RNAcentral lists this unclassified non-coding RNA (4587 nucleotides) under Leishmania donovani. RNAcentral describes it as "gene:LdHU3.27.1110(CDS-product:WD_domain_G-beta_r epeat_putative)". The record is from RNAcentral. Lineage: Eukaryota; Euglenozoa; Kinetoplastea; Trypanosomatida; Trypanosomatidae.
AGCACACGCGCACCCUCCCCACACCCCACACCGCACUCCUCCCAUCUCCAUCGGACACGGCCGACAAGGGUAGGCGCCGCGCGUUUUUGUUUCUGCGCAGUGGAGUACGGCAAGAUUCUCUGUCUCCCUCCCUUUUGUGCUCGCUGGCUCACCGCCAUCGUAUCCACCACCACCACCACCACCACCACCCCUAUUUCUCUCUCUUCGGGCCAUGCAAGGAACUUUGUUUUCCGUGAACGUGCUGCGAAGUCCUUUUGGGGUGCGUGGGGCACACUUGGUGCCGCCGCCUGACGCCGAGGUGGCUGUGGGGAAGGUGUCGACUGUCACAGAUGCCAAGGUGACGGAUAGCUAUGCGCAGGUGCUGCCGCUGCACACGCCCGUUGGCCGUACGACACGUCAGAGCUACGCGGUCUCUGGUACUCGCGGGAUCCAGCAGUUGGUCGCCAACACGCGCAGCGCCUCUUUCUCGGCGCCGUCCACUCUUGUGGCAGCUCAGCGAGUCAACAGCAGAGGGCACUGCAUGCCAUCUGCCACGCCGCAGCUGCAGGUCAUCUCAAAGCACGAGAAGGGCCGCCUGCUGGUGUGGAAUGGCCUCACCGGCGCCGUCGUCGCCGCCUGUAUCUUUCCCCCGACGUUCAAUGUGGAUCACUGCGCAGUCGCGGCGUCGUAUGUAUACACGACCGUGGAAGGCUCGGCGGUCAAAUCUGUUGCGGAGGAGGAGGCUUGCGUGUAUGUAUGGUCCCGCUCCACCCUUCGCAGUGUCACGGUGCUGAGAGGGCAUAGCGGCCGCUUGACCGCCUUGGGGGUGUGGCCGAUGGAAACCUCGACGCUUAUCGCGACGGCAAGCCUCGACGGCACGGUGCGACUCUGGCGCCAUCAGCACAGCCCAGGGCCCUGGGACGGCGCGGUCGCUAACGAGGACCCGGUGCAGCUUUUGUGGGUGUUAGCCACAGCGGAGCUGGGGAGCGUGCACUCGCUGAAGUUUCUUGCAGCAGACACCGUGGUGGCAGCCGCUACUCGCUGCGCACUGGCUUUUGUUCGCUUUCCUGAUGCACCGGCGAAGCGGAAGGGCCGGGGCAGCAUGGUGAGCAUGGGAAAGGCCGACGCUCUCGCUUUCCAAAUGGUGCGGUCCAUCGUCGAUCCGAACGGUGGCACUACCUUCCUGCAUGUGUGCCCAUACAACCGCACCAGUGGCGGGGUGGUGGCGGUGACUCCCGCGUUAGGCAACUUUAGUCUGUCCUCCCUCGCUUCCUCUUCGCCAGCUCGAGUCAGUGCCGCAGCGCCCGUGUCGGAGUCGUCUACAGUGUACCUCCUGACCGGCAGCACCAGCGGGUACAUGCAGGAGUGGACGGUGGAUGUGGAGAACACGGCAUCUGCAGAGGCGCCGCCGAAGCCGGCUGCCUCGUCCGCCGAGCCUGUGUACGUCGACAUCAAGUGCCGCUGGCACCACAAAGCGCACUCUGCCACGGUGGACUGCGUCGUCACGGACGAGGAUGUCGUGGUAAGCACGAGCCUGUUCGACCGCGCCAGCAUCUACCACCGCACUAGCGGUGCCACCUGCGCCAUCGCCAGCACCGCGGCGAUUCCCGUGCUCGUGCCGCAGCUGAAGGAGCUCGUGUGGGGCACCAUCGACGGUACGCUGAGCGUCGCGAGCUACGCGCGCUUUGCGUCUGGGGUGGAGAAUGAGCUGCAGCUGCUGUGGACGGCCAGGCCGCACGCGACGGCGAUCCGCGGAGUGUGCUUGUCCUUGACACCCGACCUCCGCUGGGACACCCUCUGCACCGGUGCAGCCGACGGGUCUAUGUGCGUGUGGAGGGCCAUGCCGGAGUCGGGGCGGACGGCGGCUGGCAGCACCGCAGCAAAGAAGGAGGGCGCUGCGCCAUUGAUUGCCCACCUCUUGCACGUAUUCGCUCUGCCACCGAACACUGUGGAGAAAGGGGAUGCUGAUGGGAAGCGGGUGGCGGCCGUGGUGGCGGGGCUGAAGGCAUCCACCGCCGGCACACAAGGUGCCAUCAUUGUCGUGGAGCUGGCAGCCACUGGAGAUGUUGGCCAGGUUGCCGCCGUGCUCCUCAAGGACAACGUAGAGGUGUCGUGCGCGCACCUGUGCCGCGGCGACAAGGGCACCCUCUCCCUCUGGGUCGGGACGCGCUGUGGUCAGCUGUUGCACGCUCUCCACAAACCGGCGCAGAAGGUCUGGACAGCGCUGAUGCCGGUGCAGUGGGAUGGCAAACCGAACGGCAGCGUGGUCGCCAUCGCAGAUGACGCCGGAUCGUCGUCCAUCAUGGUGGCUGUUGCCGAAGCGCCCGACGCGAGUCGGGCGUCGCAACGCCUGUUCCUCUCCGCGCUUCAGCUGGAGCCCGGGGCGACGGUGAAGACGAUGCUCUCACGAUGGGAAAGUGAUAUUGCCCUUCCUUGCACUGUAUACGCCGCCAGCCACCGCGAGCGCACGUUCGCCAUGACAUGGGUGAGCAAGGUGCUCUCGGGCGAGCAAGCCUCUCCGCGUGCCAUCAGUGGGCUGCUCGUGUGUUGCAGCGACGGCACCAUGGUGCGCUGUUUGCGCACUAGCAUGGCCGAUGCUGCCCCUUCUGUAGGCCCUUGGAGCACACCCGAGGUACUCGUCAUGGCGGCGGCGUCGGGGCAAGCAAACACCAUUCAGCGCAAUUUCGACGAGUCGCCGUCCUUCUCGGCCACAGCGGUGGCCUCGCCAAGUCGAAACUCCGAUCUUCUCUGCGUCGACAUGUUUGAGAACAGCAAGCGAUUACUGAUGCCGUCGAAGGUGCGGACGACGCAGCUGACAGCGAUCCUGUGCGACGUUGGGACAGAGAGGGUGCGGCUGGCGGCGGUGCGGCAAGAAAAGCCGGAUGCCGCGAGCGAAGUGGCACUCUUCGACAACGCGGGUCGGGAGUUUGGUCGCGUAACGCACGACGGCGCCGUGUUGCACAGCAACGACGUGUCUGCAGCAUCUGCCUCGAAAGGACCGAUCAGCUAUACACCCAAAGUGCAGGGGGCGUCCCUGCGUCGGUCCUCGACGGCGGCAGUGGCCACGGCAGCCGAAGCUGCCAACUGCACCGCUAUCGCUGCACACGCGGGGGAUCGAAUCGCCUUCAUUGGCUACGAUGACGGUCUUCUGCAGAUGGUCGACACAGCUGACGUGUACGUCUUCUGUCGUCGCUGGGCAACGGACGCGACUGGCGUCGCGCGACGGAUCGUUGACGUGCGGUAUGCUGGCUCGGGGGUAGUAGUGGUGCUGUUAGCGAACCACCACCUCUGCAGUUUCGCUGUUCCCCCGCGUAGUCUACUCGACCAACCUUCGCUAUGAUGAGGACUUGAGCGUGUGUUUCGGUGCACUGGUUGGGUGGGAAGGCCUUCUUUUUUCCCGAUUGUGUCGUCCUGCGCGCUUCUGUAUGGCAUCGUUGCUUGUACAACAUAAUGAGGUGAACAAGUCACUCCUUCUUUUGUUUCAGCGUGUGCCCCUUGCUCUGCCCGUGCAACGCGAGCUGCACGCCACUCCACGCCCCUCCAGCCGGCCCCGUCACACCGGCCCACAUCGCCUGGCGCGAGGCAGCGGUAGGCAUACGCGGUACAGCACUGCGCCAACACAGUCACCUGGGUACGGCCUCCGUCCCAAGCGCUACACAGCCGCACCCUCCUUGAGAGUGGCGCAGGCUCCCUGCACCGCUGGGCAGAGUGAGGGCCCCGGAGGGGGAGGGAGAGGGGGGAGAUGUGUUCGAGCCACGCUGGCCGCUCCGACGCCACGCCCUCCACAACCUCGGCAGCGACAUCAGCAGCGAUACAUCGCUCUGACCUCCCCUACGUCGUCGGUGCUGGGCCCCGCCACCACCCGAGGUGGCUGGGGCAUUUGGCAGGGGUUUAGGGGUUGGGGGGGGGGCUGGCUCGCUUCCCCACAGCCACAAACACACACACACACACAGAGUGGGGUGCGUGCUGGGCCCUGCGACACGACGCACUGAGGGGUGCAACCUCCACCCCACCCCACCCCCUUCCCGCUCAUCCGAAUGGGCAGGUCACUCAUAAAAGGAAAAAGCCGAUGCCGUUUUCGUAAGAGGCUACAGCUUAUCACGACGCUCCCUCUCCUUUCUGUUUGUUUGUCUACCUCAUUACGUUCUUAGUUCGCUUUCUCUAUCCUCAUGUACACGGAGCUCUCCCCUCCCCCCUCCCUCCUCCUCCCCAAGCACACACACACACGCACACAUAGCAAUGAUAUAGAUAUGAUGAAGCACCUACGCCGUGGAACGUCCACCGCUUCGUCUCUCGCUGUCGCGCCUCCUCAGCGCAAAGGCGGCCCCGAUGUGGCAUCCUCUAUCCCUCCCUUCCCCUUAUCCUGUGCUGGUUCGCCUGCAAGUAAGCCGUUCACGAAUCAGCGCGGAUUGCGAGGGGCUGAGGGGGCAAUAUGUUCCCCUUUCCACCGAAUGCCUUCACGAUUUGCCUUCUCUCUGUUGUGACACCGGACAUGAAGUGGUGGAGGUGGUCAUCGGCUCGUCUUAUUUUGUCCUUCUUGUCUCUGCUUUUGCUCUGCUGCCCCCCCCUACUCCUCCUUUUCGCUGUCUCUCUAUCCCUCCACACUAG